Ricinus communis (castor bean) is the source of this 107-nucleotide non-coding RNA. The record is from Rfam. Lineage: Eukaryota; Viridiplantae; Streptophyta; Magnoliopsida; Malpighiales; Euphorbiaceae.
AGUCCGUAGUGCGAGUAACAUUGGAGCAAGUCUUUAUACCUCUCUCAGGCAUCAUACAUGCUCUCAUCAUUGAACUGCACAAAAGAAGAUAUGUCAUUUCUCAAUCU